Molecule: ribosomal RNA, 492 nt
Filed under: uncultured bacterium
Lineage: Bacteria
Description: partial 16S ribosomal RNA
Rfam family: Bacterial small subunit ribosomal RNA
Source: RNAcentral
AGUGAACGCUGGCGGUAGGCCUAACACAUGCAAGUCGAACGGCAGCACAGUAAUAGCUUGCUCUUACGGGUGGCGAGUGGCGGACGGGUGAGGAAUACAUCGGAAUCUACUUUUUCGUGGGGGAUAACGUAGGGAAACUUACGCUAAUACCGCAUACGACCUACGGGUGAAAGCAGGGGAUCUUCGGACCUUGCGCGAUUGAAUGAGCCGAUGUCGGAUUAGCUAGUUGGCGGGGUAAAGGCCCACCAAGGCGACGAUCCGUAGCUGGUCUGAGAGGAUGAUCAGCCACACUGGAACUGAGACACGGUCCAGACUCCUACGGGAGGCAGCAGUGGGGAAUAUUGGACAAUGGGCGCAAGCCUGAUCCAGCCAUACCGCGUGGGUGAAGAAGGCCUUCGGGUUGUAAAGCCCUUUUGUUGGGAAAGAAGAGCAGCAGGUUAAUACCCCGCUGUUCUGACGGUACCCAAAGAAUAAGCACCGGCUAACUUCGUG